UGAAUCAGAGAGUUUAGUGAGUGU
RNAcentral lists this non-coding RNA (24 nucleotides) under Arabidopsis thaliana (thale cress). Lineage: Eukaryota; Viridiplantae; Streptophyta; Magnoliopsida; Brassicales; Brassicaceae. The record is from RNAcentral.